UGAUUCUGUCGCCAAUUCGUAAUCGCUGCCAGCGCGGCCGUAAAUAAGCGGGCAAAUAAUUCCACUGCUGGCUCCAUGGCGGCGGCGGUGGCAGACGUGGUAUAGUUGAAAGGUGGUAGGAAGCGAAAUGAGAAUGAUUUAUUAACAGUGAGCUAAUGACACGUGCUAACAAGUGGUUAUUGAGACAAGCGCCUUCGCGACAUGACAGUUUCUGAUGGUCGAGAGUUCGACGAAGGUCCGUUUGUUUAAGAUUUUGUUCAGUGGCAGUCCAACAACACGUCUACAUGCUAUUCUUCUGAAGCUGGAUGUGUUACGACCUUCGUAGCACUUAGGGCGCCUGCCGGUGAACGAGGAAUGUUUGCGAAAUUUUGCGAAGCUACGCAGGCGACGGGCGGGCCCCGCACUGGGUACGGAUGGAGCACUGGAAGUCCAGCCAUGAAAUACCAACAGGAUAGCUCUUCGAGAUUUUUCUUUUAAACA
This 480-nucleotide long non-coding RNA is filed under the name Volvox carteri. RNAcentral's name for it is "long non-coding RNA (VCAR_LNC001294)". The record is from RNAcentral. Lineage: Eukaryota; Viridiplantae; Chlorophyta; Chlorophyceae; Chlamydomonadales; Volvocaceae.